CAUCACUACGCUAGAUGCAUAUCAAUAAGCGGAGGAAAAGAAACUAACAAGGAUUCCCUUAGUAACGGCGAGUGAAGCGGGAAGAGCUCAAAUUUGAAAUCUUAAAGGGUUUCCCUUUACGAAUUGUAGUUUAAAGAAGUGUUUUCUGUUGGAGUUUCGGUAAAAGUUCUUUGGAAUAGGACAUCAUAGAGGGUGAGAAUCCCGUAUUUGACCGUUACUUUCCAGCUGUGUGAUACACUUUCAAAGAGUCGGAUUGUUUGGGAAUGCAGUCCAAGAUGGGUGGUAAAUUUCAUCUAAAGCUAAAUAUUGGCGAGAGACCGAUAGCGAACAAGUACCGUGAGGGAAAGAUGAAAAGAACUUUGAAAAGAGAGUUAAACAGUACGUGAAGUUGUCAAAAGGGAAGCGUUUGACACCAGUGUUGUUUAGUUGAAAAUCAAUUCAAUAGUUUUUGAUUCUAUGUAGUAUUGACUUCAUCAGCUUGCUGCUUUCUUCUCAGAAAUUAUUGAAUGCACUUUUCAGUUAACAAGUCAACAUCAAUUUCUUUUGUUGUAAAAGGGUAAGAGGAAGGUGGCUUGCGCUUCGGCUCAAGUGUUUAUAGCCUUUUAUCUCUGCAAUCGGAGAGAUUGAGGUCUGCAGCGUAGAUCCUUCGGGGUUAGAUACGUUUGUGCUAAGUUAUGGCUUUUCAUAGACAACUUGUUGACUAUGUUUAGUCUUGUAGCUUACUCGCUGACGCUAUUUUACCUACGCUUAGGAUGUUGAUAUGCAUGACUGAUAU
This 775-nucleotide ribosomal RNA is filed under the name uncultured Neocallimastigales. Its description in RNAcentral is "partial large subunit ribosomal RNA". It matches the Rfam family "Eukaryotic large subunit ribosomal RNA", at positions 20 to 643 of the family's 3401-position model. Lineage: Eukaryota; Fungi; Neocallimastigomycota; Neocallimastigomycetes; Neocallimastigales. The record is from RNAcentral.